UGAGAGCAGAGAGUUGGAAAUGGGCGGGACGGAAAAAAAGUUGAAAGGGGAAAUGAUAACACUCCCAAGGAAUAUUCAUGUAAGCUAAUAGUCAGUCAUGCUCUGCUGCUGCUUGUGAUGAUGAUGAUGAUGUUGUUGUUGUUGGGAAGAACAGUCUGUGCACAUUCCUGCCUAUCCCGCUUCUCCCAGGAUGUUUAGCUCGUGUCACGUGGUCACGUUCUUCUUUGUUCGGUCCACCUCAGGUCCACAUGCCGGUCGUUACAGGCAACGUAAUGUUUGGUUUCUUCAGCCGGUCUUGACGACAUCUUCUUUUCUAACCUGGCCGUACCGAGUGCUUCGUACGACCUGAAACGGGCCGCCGUAUCUGGGCUCGCUCCACGUUCUCUUAUGUUGCUCUGCAGGGUCCACUUCCUCGGGUGGGAAUUGUCUGGACCCUGCAAAAGAUUUUUCCCACCGCACCGCAGUGAUUUCAGUCAUCAAGGGUCUUUUGUUCCACACACAACCCCCCAACUCACUCUCUCUCACACACACACACACACACGGACACACAGCAGGGGACAGCAACAUUUGGCCCCCGCUGACCCAUCAGACACGCUGGCGCCUGCUUCGGAUGAGCUUCACGGCUUUGACCUUAUCAGCUGAUUGUCAACGGGGAGGACGACGUCCGCGUAAACGACAUCAUCCGGAACCUGCGGGAUGGAAACGGUGGUGGUGAGCUCCCAUCUCGACCCACAACAAGUGUUGAAGUGUUGAAACUUACAUGGUUGAUAUUGGCUAUGGGACAGGAGGCCUCGGGCCGGUCUGAAAUGCGCAUUUGAAUAACGUCAUACAAAACUAGAGAAAUAUAUCCGUGUCAUGUGUCAUCACUGGCCACAUAUUAAUGUGGUUGUAGUUGUAUUGCAUCGUACUUAAGAGUUAUUUCUAAUUUGCGUCCUUAAAAGAAUGUUUACUACUUACUCGAUGCCUUUCGUCGCCUGACCACAACAAACAUGGCGGCCAAGGCGGUCAGUGCGGCGCACGCCAACACCGCCGCCACCACGCCGACCUGGAAGCGUCUGUCGCCUGGAAACACAAUUUGAACGUGACUUCUGAGUUGUACUUUUGUAGCAGUCAUUUUAAAAAAUGAGUGGACUUAAUCCCAUACCAUGAGGUUCUACUUCUUCUAAUUUGAAGCCUCCUCUUCCCUUCCCUUUGAAAGCUAAACAGUCAAAAGAGCAUUAUUAUUUUGAGUUUGAACAUAAUUAUAGGUCAUUUGGUAGUUGGUCCACACCUGGUAC
Long non-coding RNA from Phyllopteryx taeniolatus (common seadragon), 1277 nucleotides. RefSeq lists it as uncharacterized. Lineage: Eukaryota; Metazoa; Chordata; Actinopteri; Syngnathiformes; Syngnathidae. The transcript has 5 exons. The record is from RefSeq and is a predicted model, not a curated record.